Molecule: ribosomal RNA, 253 nt
Filed under: uncultured bacterium
Lineage: Bacteria
Description: partial 16S ribosomal RNA
Rfam family: Bacterial small subunit ribosomal RNA
Source: RNAcentral
UACGGAGGGUGCGAGCGUUGUUCGGAAUCACUGGGCGUAAAGGGCGUGUAGGCGGUCCGCUAAGUCUGAUGUGAAAGCCCGGGGCUCACCCCCGGAAGGGCAUUGGAAACUGGCGGACUCGAGUCCCGGAGAGGAAGGUGGAAUUCCUGGUGUAGCGGUGAAAUGCGUAGAUAUCUGGAGGAAUACCGGUGGCGAAGGCGGCAUCCUGGACCGGCAUUGACGCUGAGGAGCGAAAGCUAGGGGAGCAAACGGG